GUGUUCUUGGAUGAAAAGCGGGUUCUAUUGUCAUGGAAUUUUAGUUUAUCUGUGUUUAGUGUUUUGCAUAAUGGAACCAGAAAUUAGAGCAAGUUUUAUGGUCACAAAGUUUGAGGUCGCGAAAAGUUCGGGGGGUCGACCGCCUCCUCCCGCUCCCACUAUUAUUAAUCUACACUUGCUUAAUAGGAGCAGUGACAGUUUUCUGUGCUUUUAAAUUUAUGAGAAUAUGUUUAGCUGUAAACAAAUUCGUACUCAUAUUUCAGGUUGAAGUUGAGAAUUUGUUUGAUGUAUCUUCGUAUUAUGAUAUUAAUCUUGUGAUUUACUGAUUUAUAGACCAUGAUUUAUAUUGGGAGGGAGAACGACAAAGCGAGAGACAAUGGAGAUAGGAGACCUGCCUCCGGCCAGCCACCUUAAACCGGCAAUCCUCCAUUCAUUCAUCGCUCAACAUCGACGACAGUUGUGUGGAUGAUUCUGGAACUUGGGGCCACGGUGGUAUGUUUGAUGCACUUGCUAGACUUUCAUCACAAAUUUCGGAAGCAUAUGAGCACGCUUCUGAAUUCGGGGACCUUCAUCUUGGUGAUCUCCAUCUUUUAGAAAUUACUGUAGGUGAAGAUGAGGAGAAUAAAGAUGGUAAUGUUAAUCAGUGGGUAGCUCUAGCUGUGCUUCAAACGUAUAAUCCCAGACGCAAAGUGCCUCGUAGCAGCAUCUCUAUUCCUGAACUGGAACAGUGCUUGUCGAAAGCUUCGUUUUCUGCUGCUCAAAAGUCGGAUAUCUCAAACUCUGUAAAAGUCAUACAUUGAAAAAGUUUCUCUUUUUAGGGGAUGCUCAUUCGAACUCAUCAUGGUAUUAAAAACCGGAAAGAAAGUGUUUGUGGGAGAGCACUACCCAACUGGCCCGUUUGUCCCCUCUACUGAUAAUUUUGCGGACACGCCUUUUUUAGAAGCCAUUAAAUACGGUCAUGAUAAAGUGGCUUCAUUAGUCAUUACUGUAACUUGGUAAAGGGUAGAAGCCAAAAAGCCACGCUGAGGCGGAAGUGACAAGUGCUACAAAUAUCUAUACCGUUGUGGGUAAAAGUGCUGAUAGAUUGGCCUUAUAUUUUGGUGAAGACCCUUCCCGUUGCCCUUUCGAACAAGAUCGUCUUCUUCCAAUAGGGUUGAUCAAAUAUUGCAUAUCAUUUUUGCAAAAUGAGGCACGAACAAAAUCAAGCUACACUUGACUACCAUAGGAAGGUUGUCGUUGCACUUGCAACUCGAAGAUUUAAAGGCGAGAUCAUUCCAAUCAAAACUAAGAUGUUGACCAGAAAACUAAAAGAUGGUAUCCGCCCAGGAACAUUGCAACUCGAAAAAAGUUCUUACAACUUCUAUUGAUGAUGGGAUCCGCUCAGUAACAAGUUUAGUAGAUCCUGCAAACUUAAAGAUGGUAUUUAAGAAACAUGGGUCAAUCAUUAUUGGUACUUCCAGCAGGUGAGUGAUGGUCUUGGACGUGUUUGGAUAGUUUUGGAUAAUGGAGUUAACCAACCCGACUCGAAACCCGUUCUGACCUGGACCCGUUUCAACCCGAACCCGUUCCAACCUGAACCAAAACAAGCCUUUUUUUGUAAUUGACCUGUUUUGACUCUAACCCAUUUUGACCCAUGACCCGAACCAACCAGUUUGCCAGGCCUAAACAAGACCAUCAACCCAAAUACAUCUUUUAGCUUUAUGUAUUUCUCAUAAGUAAACUGUCAAUGCUCAUUUUGUUAUUUGCGUUAACUUCUUAGUUCUUACAUAUUUUCAUAAAUAAAUAUGUUGUUUUUAUUACUAAAUAAAAGAGUGUAUUAGGUGAAAACAUGAAACGUAUCUCUGAUUUGAUUUCUACGAGAUUAAUACUCAUGCUAUUACUA
Molecule: RNA transcript, 1882 nt
Organism: Helianthus annuus (common sunflower)
Lineage: Eukaryota; Viridiplantae; Streptophyta; Magnoliopsida; Asterales; Asteraceae
Gene name: probable helicase CHR10
Exons: 8
Source: RefSeq, a predicted model, not a curated record